GAGAUAUUAGUAAAGUCUUACGUAACUUUGUCAAAGUUAAAUCACAAGUGAAAACCCUGUAUAUCUCC
This 68-nucleotide transfer RNA is filed under the name Peponocephala electra (melon-headed whale). Its description in RNAcentral is "tRNA-Asp". RNAcentral also lists the same sequence under 1 other name. The record is from RNAcentral. Lineage: Eukaryota; Metazoa; Chordata; Mammalia; Artiodactyla; Delphinidae.